This 438-nucleotide ribosomal RNA is filed under the name uncultured bacterium. RNAcentral describes it as "bacterial SSU rRNA". It matches the Rfam family "Bacterial small subunit ribosomal RNA", at positions 335 to 762 of the family's 1533-position model. The record is from RNAcentral.
ACUCCUACGGGAGGCAGCAGUGGGGAAUAUUGCACAAUGGGCGCAAGCCUGAUGCAGCCAUGCCGCGUGUGUGAAGAAGGCCUUCGGGUUGUAAAGCACUUUCAGUAAGGAGGAAAGGUUAGUAGUUAAUACCUGCUAGCUUGUGACGUUACUUACAGAAGAAGCACCGGCUAACUCCGUGCCAGCAGCCGCGGUAAUACGGAGGGUGCGAGCGUUAAUCGGAAUUACUGGGCGUAAAGCGCAUGCAGGUGGUUUGUUAAGUCAGAUGUGAAAGCCCGGGGCUCAACCUCGGAAUUGCAUUUGAAACUGGCAGACUAGAGUACUGUAGAGGGGGGUAGAAUUUGCAGGUGUAGCGGUGAAAUGCGUAGAGAUCUGAAGGAAUACCGGUGGCGAAGGCGGCCCCCUGGCACAGAUACUGACACUCAGAUGCGAAAGCGU